Molecule: non-coding RNA, 78 nt
Organism: Eptesicus fuscus (big brown bat)
Lineage: Eukaryota; Metazoa; Chordata; Mammalia; Chiroptera; Vespertilionidae
Source: Rfam
AGAGUGAGGGAGGCGGAAUGGCUGGUACUGAAGUAAUGACUGCACACAGUACCAGACAUGCCGCCCCCUUCCCUCUAC